CUCCACCACUGUGGCCGUUCUCACCAAGGAGGGAAAGCUCAUCACCCCAGCAGCACAGAGCCCGCCUGCUGCGCAUCUUCAUCUCUGCCCACUUCACCAUUCUGCUUACACUUGACCUUCAGUGCACACAUUCAAGAUUAUUGUUAAUGCUAGAUUCAAGGGAGCAUCACACUGUCACUUCAACAUCUACAUUACAAAUACAUUUUGCCAUUGUGAGCAAAAAGAAAAUGCAAACUGAGAAGAACUAUUUAAUAUAAAUUAUGCUAACAUAAAUUAUAUCUGAUUUAUGACUAUACUCUUGAAAAAGCCUCUUUAGAUUAGAGAUAUAUUACUGUCUAGAAGCCAAAUCUAGCCUUCUUUUGUAUUUAAUUUUACUGGCACACAAUUUCAUUUUCACUUCUAUAUAUUCUCUGCUUUCUCAAUUCAUUUGUACAGAGUGUGGGAGACAUUGUGACCAGAACAGUCUAAAAUAUUUAUUAUCUGAUCCUUCAAAAACAAGAUAUAUGAUGGAUAGCCUUUCCUCUCUACCAGUGUUUCGUAAGAAUCUGAGUAUAAGUGCUGCCUUUGACAGAGAUGACAUGCUUAUACCAUGCGGGUGGCACAAAGCUGUGAAGUGGUGAUGACAGGGAUGAGCUUGGACAUCCUACGAGAGUGGCAAAGACUUUGGCAACAGGAAGAAUUCUUCAUAGAAGCAACAUGUGAUAGUAAAUAGCAAGAAGCACAGAACAUGGAAGGCCUUAGAAAGAUGAAUUCAAGUUCUAGUGCCAACAAGUGCUAAAAUAUGUGACUACAACUGUAAUCCAGGGGCUUAAUCAAGAGCCUGUAAGCCUUCCUCAUUCGUGAAAAGGACUCAGUUGACAAGAACGACAGACAACCAAACACAAUGUACUAGAAGCUAGUCAAAUCUUUUCCUCGGGGAGCUUUUCACUGUAAACUUGUUCUGGGUUGAAGCAAGAUGGAUUGCCUACUAGUGUGAGGUGGAAGAGCGUAUUAAACUUUACAUGGAGUCAAAGAUGUAGAUUUUCAAUUCCAAGUAGGAAAAAAAAGUCAAAGAGAUUAAAC
This 1062-nucleotide long non-coding RNA is filed under the name Mus spicilegus (steppe mouse). RNAcentral describes it as "lncRNA (ENSMSIG00000030779.1)". The record is from RNAcentral. Lineage: Eukaryota; Metazoa; Chordata; Mammalia; Rodentia; Muridae.